AGCUCGCGGCCAGGUGAGGCGCCCCGCCCCUCGGCGUCUCCAGGUGCGGCGGUGGGACCUUCGACCGCGGCGGGGCCAGGGCCGGGGCGGAGGCGCCAUGGCCGAGUCCCAGCUGAGCUGCCUGGACGAGGCGCACGUGAACGAGAAGGUGACCGAGGCGCAGGCCGCCUUCUACUACUGCGAGCGGCGGCGGGCCGCGCUGGAGGCGCUGCUGGGCGGCGGCGAGCAGGCCUACCGCGAGCGGGUCAAGAAGGAGCAGCUGCGGGACUUCCUCUCCAGCCCGGAGCGCCGGGCCCUGUGCGCCGCCUGGAGCCCGUACGAGGACGCCGCCGACGCCGCCCCCGCCACCAGCGCCCGGGGCAAGAGCAAGGCCAAGGCCAAGGCCAAGGCCCCCGCGCCGGAGCCGGCCGAGCCCGGCGAGUCCCUGGCCUACUGGCCCGAUCGGUCUGACACCGAGGUGCCCCCGCUGGACCUGGGCUGGACGGACACUGGUUUCUACCGCGGCGUGAGCCGGGUCACCCUCUUCACCCACCCCCCCAAGGACGAGAAGGCGCCGCACCUCAAGCAGGUGGUCAGGCAGAUGAUCCAACAGGCCCAGAAGGUCAUUGCUGUGGUCAUGGACCUCUUCACGGAUGGUGAUAUCUUCCAAGACAUUGUGGAUGUUGCCUGUAAGCGCCGGGUCCCAGUGUACGUCAUCCUGGACGAGGCGGGAGUGAAGUAUUUCCUGGAGAUGUGUCAGGGCCUGCAGCUCACCGACUUCCGGAUUCGGAACAUCCGUGUCCGCUCCGUGACAGGCGUCGGCUUCUACAUGCCCAUGGGGAGGAUCAAGGGAACCCUGUCAUCAAGGUUCCUGAUGGUGGAUGGUGACAAAGUGGCCACUGGAUCUUACAGGUUCACCUGGAGUUCCUCCUACGUGGACAGGAACCUCCUCCUCCUCCUGAUGGGGCAGAACGUGGAGCCCUUUGACACAGAGUUCCGGGAGCUGUAUGCCAUCUCCGACGAGGUGGACUUGCACCGGCAGCUAGGCCUGGGAGGCCACCACUACUCCUCCACCGUGGCUCGCAAGCUCAUCAACCCCAAGUAUGCCUUGGUGGCAGGCAGCCGCCACCCGCCUGGGGAGAUGAUGCGCUGGGCCGCCCGGCAGCAGCGGGAGGCCGGUGGCAACCCGGAGGGGCAGGAGGAGGGCAGCGGCAGCGAAUCAGCCCGGCGCCUGGAGAGCUUCCUGAGAGACCUGGCCACGGUGGAGCAGGUGCUGCCCCCUGUGGAGCCCAUCCCCUCGGGGGUGCUGAGCCGGAAGGAUGGCAGGAUGGUCUCUCGCAUACACAUAGACCUAAAGCCCACAUCCCGAGAGGCGCCCAGCCGAAAUGGCACAGGAGAAGCGGCCCGGGCAGAGGCCGCCCCUGCCAGGGAGCGCAGGCGCCUCAGCAGCAAGUUGCUGGGCCGCUGGUCCAAGAGGCCCACGGUGCCCAAUGGCGUGGCCAGCUCCCCCUCCACCGAGACAUUCUCCGAAGUAGAGUUUCUGAUGGGGAAGAAGCCCAAUGAGGACUCCAGUGCCGAGGUCUCAGGUAAAACAAGUCCCAGUUCUGCCAAGCCCAACAAGUGCGUGAUUUCCUGAGCUGCGGGAUGGGGGUGGGCAGGACGUGUGGAUGCCCGCCUGCCCUGCCCUGUGCUGUGGAGAGCGCGGGUCACACACUGCACCAGUUUGCACAUCAGACUCCAACUGGCCUCCUGCCCUGCAGCCUCCGUCCUGGCCUCAGGGAGCCUGGAUCCCACGUGAGAGGGUCCGAAGCAUCUCAGUCACACACCAGACUGUCGGUGGCUGGGCGGGGGUGUCAGGUGCAGCCAGCACCGCAGGGACUCUGAACUGAACGAGGGGAAGCGUGGCCAACCCCAGGCAGCGGCAGAAUUUGGUGCUGCUGAGCUCUCUCUCCCUGCCCGGUGCGGUCCUGGCGGUCUCAGCGUGAGUGGUCCAGACCUCGGCUGCUGCCUGCUGUGGGCCUCUAGGGGGGUCCUUACAGUGCCUUGACCUGCUCCUUCCCUCAGUAAGCUUUGGUUUACAGCCCACAGCAGGGAGGGGACCUGGCCAAGAGGGAGUUUGGGGGUGUAGGAGGCUGGGCCCUGAGGAUAGGAGCAUUUGUCUUUUCUCUCCCAACCCUAACAGGGUUCUCGGACCCCUUCACCAACCAGGGCCUCCCAGGUUACACUUCAGCCAAAGACUGGCCUUCGCCUCCCGCGAGAGUCAGGCUGUUUUUAGAGGCCUGUGCCUCACCAGAGCAAGUCAGCCUAAUUGCCAUGGUGCUGGGCAGUUCCACCCUGCCCUCCCCACUUCGGUGACUAGAGAGGGCCGAGGAGAGUGUGUGGAUGGACCUGGGAGAAAUUGCCAAACUGCAGACUCUGUGAGCUGGCCCUGCAGGCAGGGCGAUGGGGGAGCCGAGCCCUGUGAAAAAGCCAGGCAGCAGCCUUUCUUGUCCUCUGACCUCUGAAGCAAACUCUCAGCCUCUUUCUCCCCUUCUAAAACACCCCAGGACACUACCAGCAUCGGGGGGAGGGGUAGCGAUGUCUGCAAGGCAGCUGAUGGGAGAGCAGGGGAAGGGGCCGCUCUGGCUGGGCUGCAGGAGCCAGGCACUGCUGGGGAAGCACGAAGUGGGGACCACAGGUGGUGGCCAUUGAGGAAACACAGUCUGUCUGGCAGUGGUGAGGAAAAAGGAAGUGUGAGCCUGUCCCCAGGGUCUCCUCUGUCAGUCCCUAGGCUGGCUUCUAGGGUGUGUAGAGAAGGGACUCUGGCCCACCUCCUUGAGCUUUAACGCUUCUGGGAAGUGCUUCCUUAGGCAGGAAGGCCAGGAAGUUGGCCCGAGUUCGUUCUGGAGGGGAGGGAAGGGAGAGAGGGGGGAGGUGGGGGAUGGCGCUGUUACACCUCAGCUUGGAGCAGAAACCUUGAAGGUACAGGAUACGAAAUGUGUAAAUUGCGAGGGGGCAGGGAGAUGACCCUCUGGUGUGGAGGGUGGGCGCCUCAGGAUGAGGAAGGCAGCCUGGGGAAGGGACUGGCCUCCAGGCAAAUCAGUCUGGGGCAUCUUACGCCUCCCCUACCAGAAGAGCAGGCUCUGUUUUGACCUUUUACCCGCUCUAGACCCAAAGCACACCCAGGUCCCACGCCUGCCCUGACAUCUAAUCUGGGAGGAUACCUGAUUGGAAUCUCCAAGUCACCACAGCCUUGAGCCAGGCCUGCCUUUCUGCGUCAGUUUCUCUGUGUGCCAAUAUGGGGUUUUUUUCACACUUCCUUGGUAGAGAUGAUGGGAGACCAUAUGUUGGGGAGGAAGCAAGUUAGCCUAUCGGGAAGAGGGCCGGCCAUCGGGUAGGACUGCCCAGGCAGGGCACCUCUGCCCACCAGCCUGUGUCCUCAUCCUUAUAGCAGUGUGGGCAAGAUGGUGUCUGGCCCCACCCGCUCCAAAAGGCUUGAGAACGAAACUGUAGUCCAGAGAUUGCAAGGAUCUUGAACUCACAAAAUGCUGCUCUUCAUGUUUGCCUGUCUGCCCAGGCACCGGCCCACUCUGUUCUGCCUCUUGGCUUCUCAGCUUUGAGUAUGCCUGCCCUCUGUUCCAGCACGCGCACAUACUUCGUGAAGCUGUCUCUUACUCAUCAGAUCUCAAGGGUACAUCUGGCCCUCCCAGUUGGAUGGCAAGUUUAAGGGUGGAUCAUGCCCUUGCUCCCUGCACAGCAGCUUCCACAAGGCUGGUUACGUUGGAAGGGCUGUAGGAGGAACAGGAUAUGGCAGCAGUCUCAGCGCUGGGGUCUGGCUUUGCUGCCCUCCACCCCACACCACCACCAAGCUGCUAUCUCACUUUCUGAAUCAGCUUCUGUAGGGGGCAGGAGGCUUGCUGCAGAACAGGCGUCCCCGCUCAGCGAGCAGAGCCAAACCAAGGUGAGCGAGGAGAAGGGCAAGAAGGGCAGGCGCAGUCAUGGACAUGUUCUGGGGCGAAGAACCGUGCAAUCAGCCCACAGGCCUCACACUGUUAGGCAGGCCUGGACUUCUCGCUCUUCCCCUUGCAGCUUCUGCCCUCCCAGCCAGGGACUGAGGAAUGCCCUGCUCCUAGAUGCCAUGUGCUGCUGCCUGGCACAAUAGGUACCCAUCUGUCCUUGGGGUUCCUGAGCCUGGGGAGCGGGCUCUGUGAGCACGGGUGCCUCACCUGCCUGGCUUACCUUUGCAACCACAAUAUGUGCUUAAUACCUAUUUGUUAAGUGAUUGAAGACUUGACGGCCAUUCAGCACAGGGAAUUAGCCAGGUGAAUAAACAGAUGUCACAGAGGUUCCAGAAUCAAUCAUGUGUCUCAUUCCUGACUUCUAAUCCCAUAUAAGCCAAAUGGGGUUCUGCUGUGAUUUAAUGUCUUAAGGACUGGGUUUAUCAAAGUCCCUCCUGAUCUAAGCCUUUCCUCUAGGAAGGCUUCUCCUUUCCUCAUCUGUCCUGAGUGCAUGGCCUUUAUCUCCCGGGUGGGCCAGACUAGGUGGCACUGGGCCUCCAGGCCUCUGGCUGCUCAAAGGUGGCCCUCUCUGCCUGCUUCCUUUCAAAAGCUAGCACAGAAAGGAGGGCCCUAGAUGAGGAAAUUUGUCCAAAGUCACCCAGUGAGUCACAGGAAGGGCUAGAAUCUGGUUAUCUGGACCGUUCUAGAGCACUUUCACAGUGGCGGCCUGCUGCAAACAAGUUUUCAUCUAGAAAAAUGUCUAAAGUGGCCAGGCAAGGUGGUUCACACCUGUAUUCCCAGCACUU
This is a non-coding RNA of Saimiri boliviensis boliviensis (Bolivian squirrel monkey), 4762 nucleotides long. NCBI's taxonomy places the organism in Eukaryota, Metazoa, Chordata, Mammalia, Primates, Cebidae. The record is from RefSeq and is a predicted model, not a curated record.